UACGUAGGGGGCAAGCGUUGUCCGGAAUCAUUGGGCGUAAAGAGCGUGUAGGCGGCUCGAUAAGUCUGCUGUGAAAGUCCAGGGCUCAACCCUGGAAGGCCGGUGGAAACUGUCGGGCUAGAGUCCGGAAGAGGCGAGUGGAAUUCCCGGUGUAGCGGUGAAAUGCGCAGAUAUCGGGAGGAACACCAAUGGCGAAGGCAGCUCGCUGGGACGGUACUGACGCUGAGACGCGAAAGCAUGGGGAGCAAACAGG
RNAcentral lists this ribosomal RNA (253 nucleotides) under uncultured bacterium. Its description in RNAcentral is "partial 16S ribosomal RNA". It matches the Rfam family "Bacterial small subunit ribosomal RNA", at positions 524 to 776 of the family's 1533-position model. The record is from RNAcentral.